GGACUUGUGGGAGCUGUUUAAUAACAUGGAAGUUGUACUUGUACCAGUUUUAGCAGCAAUGGAACACCACAAAAUAAACGUGGAUAUAGAUAUACUGAAGCAAACAUCUGAUAUUUUGGAGGUAAAACUGAAACAGCUGGAGCAUGAAGCACACAAAACUGCUGGACAG
Long non-coding RNA from Polypterus senegalus (gray bichir), 169 nucleotides. RefSeq lists it as uncharacterized. The record is from RefSeq and is a predicted model, not a curated record. The transcript has 3 exons. NCBI's taxonomy places the organism in Eukaryota, Metazoa, Chordata, Cladistia, Polypteriformes, Polypteridae.